AUGAUGUGGAUUAAUUCGAUGACAACGCGAAAAACCUUUACCUACCCUUGACAUGUCUGGAAAGCCGAAGAGAUUUGGCCGUGCUCGCAAGAGAACCGGAACACAGGUGCUGCAUGGCUGUCGUCAGCUCGUGUCGUGAGAUGUUGGGUUAAGUCCCGCAACGAGCGCAACCCUUGUCAUUAGUUGCUACGCAAGAGCACUCUAAUGAGACUGCCGGUGACAAACCGGAGGAAGGUGGGGAUGACGUCAAGUCCUCAUGGCCCUUAUGGGUAGGGCUUCACACGUCAUACAAUGGUCGGGACAGAGGGUCGCCAACCCGCGAGGGGGAGCCAAUCUCAGAAACCCGAUCGUAGUCCGGAUCGCAGUCUGCAACUCGACUGCGUGAAGUCGGAAUCGCUAGUAAUCGCGGAUCAGAAUGUCGCGGUGAAUACGUUCCCGGGUCUU
This 444-nucleotide ribosomal RNA is filed under the name uncultured Alcaligenes sp. Its description in RNAcentral is "bacterial SSU rRNA". It matches the Rfam family "Bacterial small subunit ribosomal RNA", at positions 936 to 1382 of the family's 1533-position model. The record is from RNAcentral. Lineage: Bacteria; Pseudomonadati; Pseudomonadota; Betaproteobacteria; Burkholderiales; Alcaligenaceae.